RNAcentral lists this ribosomal RNA (801 nucleotides) under uncultured Antarctic cyanobacterium. RNAcentral describes it as "bacterial SSU rRNA". It matches the Rfam family "Bacterial small subunit ribosomal RNA", at positions 8 to 852 of the family's 1533-position model. Lineage: Bacteria; Bacillati; Cyanobacteriota. The record is from RNAcentral.
AGAGUUUGAUCCUGGCUCAGGAUGAACGCUGGCGGUCUGCUUAACACAUGCAAGUCGAACGGAGUAGCAAUACUUAGUGGCGGACGGGUGAGUAACGCGUGAGAAUCUACCUUCAGGACGGAGACAACAGUUGGAAACGACUGCUAACCCCCGAUGAACCGAAAGGGCAAAUAUUUAUAGCCUGAAGAAGAGCUCGCGUCCGAUUAGCUAGUUGGAGAGGUAAAAGCUCACCAAGGCGACGAUCGGUAGCUGGUCUGAGAGGACGAUCAGCCACACUGGGACUGGGACACGGCCCAGACUCCUACGGGAGGCAGCAGUGGGGAAUUUUCCGCAAUGGGCGAAAGCCUGACGGAGCAAGACCGCGUGGGGGAAGAAGGCUCUUGGGUUGUAAACCCCUUUUCUCUGGGAAGAACGCAAUGACGGUACCAGAGGAAUCAGCAUCGGCUAACUCCGUGCCAGCAGCCGCGGUAAGACGGAGGAUGCAAGCGUUAUCCGGAAUGAUUGGGCGUAAAGCGUCCGCAGGUGGCAGUUCAAGUCUGCUGUCAAAGACCGGGGCUCAACCUCGGAAAGGCAGUGGAAACUGAACAGCUAGAGUAUGGUAGGGGCAAAGGGAAUUCCUGGUGUAGCGGUGAAAUGCGUAGAGAUCAGGAAGAACAUCGGUGGCGAAGGCGCUUUGCUGGACCAUAACUGACACUCAGGGACGAAAGCUAGGGGAGCGAAUGGGAUUAGAUACCCCAGUAGUCCUAGCCGUAAACGAUGGAUACUAGGUGUUGUCUGUAUCGACCCGAGCCGUGCCGAAGC